Molecule: long non-coding RNA, 221 nt
Filed under: Gossypium barbadense (sea-island cotton)
Lineage: Eukaryota; Viridiplantae; Streptophyta; Magnoliopsida; Malvales; Malvaceae
Description: long non-coding RNA (GBAR_LNC002465)
Source: RNAcentral
AGGAUUGAAUUGUAAAAAGAGAUAUAAGUUUUGUUAUAGUAGGGACUAAAUUGACUAAAUUGUAGAAUUAGUAUUUUAUGAAGGAAGUUAAAUGUUAAAACUUGUUAAAGAUGGGUUAGAAUGAAAAUAUGAGAUUGGUUUUGAAGAAAAAGAAUUAGCUAUGGCUUAAGGACUAAAUUGGAAUUUUUGUAAAAGUUACAUGGAAAAUAUAAGAGUGUGUU